UGGGCUACACACGUGCUACAAUGGAUGGUACAAAGGGCUGCAAGACCGCGAGGUCAAGCCAAUCCCAUAAAACCAUUCUCAGUUCGGAUUGUAGGCUGCAACUCGCCUACAUGAAGCUGGAAUCGCUAGUAAUCGCGGAUCAGCAUGCCGCGGUGAAUACGUUCCCGGGCCUUGUACACACCGGCCCGUCACACCACGAGAGUUUGUAACACCCGAAGUCGGUGGAGUAACCGUAAGGAGCUAGCCGCCUAAGGUGGGACAGAUGAUUGGGGUGAAGUCGUAACAAGGUAGCCGUAUCGGAAGGUGCGGUUGGAUCACCUCC
This 322-nucleotide ribosomal RNA is filed under the name Priestia megaterium. Its description in RNAcentral is "bacterial SSU rRNA". It matches the Rfam family "Bacterial small subunit ribosomal RNA", at positions 1210 to 1530 of the family's 1533-position model. The record is from RNAcentral. Lineage: Bacteria; Bacillati; Bacillota; Bacilli; Caryophanales; Bacillaceae.